Molecule: long non-coding RNA, 157 nt
Organism: Oxyura jamaicensis (ruddy duck)
Lineage: Eukaryota; Metazoa; Chordata; Aves; Anseriformes; Anatidae
Exons: 3
Source: RefSeq, a predicted model, not a curated record
UGCCUGGCGCAUUAUUACAGAUAUACUCACAAGAGACCAGUUUAACGCUUCGAUCCCUCUGCCCUGCAAAGACAGCAAAUUUUUUUAAAAACAUUUGUUUGAGGGUGUUUUUCAGCAGAACAAAGGACUCAAAAACAAAUUUAUACCAUUUUCUUAA